RNAcentral lists this ribosomal RNA (403 nucleotides) under uncultured bacterium. RNAcentral's name for it is "partial 16S ribosomal RNA". It matches the Rfam family "Bacterial small subunit ribosomal RNA", at positions 30 to 526 of the family's 1533-position model. The record is from RNAcentral.
AUUGAACGCUGGCGGCAGGCCUAACACAUGCAAGUCGAGCGAGCGGCGGACGGGUGAGUAAUGUAUGGGGACUGCCCGAUAGAGGGGGAUAACUACUUGAAACGGUAGCUAAUACCGCAUACUAUCGGAUCACCCAUAUUGGAUUAGCUAGUAGGUGAGGUAAUGGCUCACCUAGGCGACGAUCCCUAGCUGGUCUGAGAGGAUGAUCAGCAAGACGAGGACGGAGACACGGCCGAGAGUCCACCGGAGGCAGCAGUGGGGAAUAUUGCACAAUGGGCGCAAGGAUGAUGCAGACAUGCCUCGUGUAUGACGAAGGCCCUAGGGUUGUAAAGUACUUUCGGUCGGGAGGCGUUGCCGACAGAAGAAGCACCGGCUAACUCCGUGCCAGCAGCCGCGGUAAUUC